Molecule: RNase P RNA, 445 nt
Filed under: Phycisphaerae bacterium
Lineage: Bacteria; Pseudomonadati; Planctomycetota; Phycisphaerae
Description: RNase P RNA component class A
Rfam family: Bacterial RNase P class A
About the family: Ribonuclease P (RNase P) is a ubiquitous endoribonuclease, found in archaea, bacteria and eukarya as well as chloroplasts and mitochondria. Its best characterised activity is the generation of mature 5'-ends of tRNAs by cleaving the 5'-leader elements of precursor-tRNAs.
Source: RNAcentral
CGCGGUCGCAGUGACGGUCGCACUCAUGGCUUGUCCAUGGGUGAGGAAAGUCCGAACUGCAACGGGCAACGGUGGUCGCUAACGGCGACGCGGAGCAAUCCGACGGAAAGUGCAACAGAAAGAAACCGCUCGGGAGAGGGUAGAGGUUAGACGGUAGAGGUGAGGAAAUAGUUUUUUCCUACCCUCUAACCUCUACCCUCUAACCUCUCCCGAGUAAGGGUGAAAUGGUGCGGUAAGAGCGCACCGCGUUCGUGGUGACAUGAACGGCACGGCAAACCCCACCGGCAGCAAGACCAAAUAGGCGUCCGAGUCUUCCUGGCCCGGGAAGCACAAGUCGGCGCGGGUAGGUCGCUUGAGCCGAUCAGCAAUGAUCGGCCUAGAGAAAUGAUCGCCCCGCUCGCGAAAGCGAGCGGAACAGAAUUCGGCUUACAAGCGGCCGCGACAA